GAUGAAGAACGCAGCGAAAUGCGAUAAGUAAUGUGAAUUGCAGAAUUCAGUGAAUCAUCGAAUCUUUGAACGCACAUUGAGCCCCUUGGUAUUCCGAGGGGCAUGCCUGUUCGAGCGUCAUUAUAACCCCUCAAGCUCAGCUUGGUGUUGGGGCCUGCUGCACUGGCAGCCCUUAAAAUCAGUGGCGGCGCCAUCUGGCUCUAAGCGUAGUAAUUCUUCUCGCUAUGGAGUCCUGGUGGAUGCUUGCCAUCAACCCCCAAUUUUUCUAUGGUUGACCUCGGAUCAGGUAGGGAUACCCGCUGAACUUAAGCAUAUCAAUAAGCGGAGGA
This 329-nucleotide unclassified non-coding RNA is filed under the name soil metagenome. RNAcentral describes it as "partial contains 5.8S ribosomal RNA, internal transcribed spacer 2, and large subunit ribosomal RNA". The stretch from base 1 to 120 matches the Rfam family "5.8S ribosomal RNA", at positions 35 to 154 of the family's 154-position model. The record is from RNAcentral.